This 253-nucleotide ribosomal RNA is filed under the name uncultured bacterium. RNAcentral describes it as "partial 16S ribosomal RNA". It matches the Rfam family "Bacterial small subunit ribosomal RNA", at positions 524 to 776 of the family's 1533-position model. The record is from RNAcentral.
UACGUGGGGGGCAAGCGUUGUUCGGAAUUACUGGGCGUAAAGGGCUCGUAGGCGGCCAACUAAGUCCGACGUGAAAUCCCCAGGCUUAACCUGGGAACUGCGUCGGAUACUGGAUGGCUUGAAUCCGGGAGAGGGAUGCAGAAUUCCAGGUGUAGCGGUGAAAUGCGUAGAUAUCGGGAGGAACACCAGUGGCGAAGGCGACUACCUGGCCUGUUCUUGACGCUGAGGCGCGAAAGCUAGGGGAGCAAACGGG